RNAcentral lists this ribosomal RNA (468 nucleotides) under uncultured bacterium. RNAcentral describes it as "partial 16S ribosomal RNA". It matches the Rfam family "Bacterial small subunit ribosomal RNA", at positions 28 to 507 of the family's 1533-position model. The record is from RNAcentral.
GACGAACGCUGGCGGCGUGCUUAACACAUGCAAGUCGAACGGAAAGGCCCUGCUUUUGUGGGGUGCUCAAGUGGCGAACGGGUGAGUAACACGUGAGUAACCUGCCCUUGACUUUGGGAUAACUUCAGGAAACUGGGGCUAAUACCGGAUAGGAGCUCCUGCUGCAUGGUGGGGGUUGGAAAGUUUCGGCGGUUGGGGAUGGACUCGCGGCUUAUCAGCUUGUUGGUGGGGUAGUGGCUUACCAAGGCUUUGACGGGUAGCCGGCCUGAGAGGGUGACCGGCCACAUUGGGACUGAGAUACGGCCCAGACUCCUACGGGAGGCAGCAGUAGGGAAUAUUGCACAAUGGGCGGAAGCCUGAUGCAGCAACGCCGCGUGCGGGAUGACGGCCUUCGGGUUGUAAACCGCUUUCGCCUGUGACGAAGCGUGAGUGACGGUAAUGGGUAAAGAAGCACCGGCUAACUACGUG